Molecule: ribosomal RNA, 406 nt
Filed under: uncultured bacterium
Lineage: Bacteria
Description: partial 16S ribosomal RNA
Rfam family: Bacterial small subunit ribosomal RNA
Source: RNAcentral
AUUGAACGCUGGCGGCAGGCCUAACACAUGCAAGUCGAACGAGUGGCGGACGGGUGAGUAAUGUCUGGGAAACUGCCUGAUGGAGGGGGAUAACUACUGGAAACGGUCGCUAAUACCGCAUACCCUCAGAUGUGCCCAGCUGGGAUUGGCGAGUUGGUGGGGUAACGGCUCACCAGGGCGACGAUCCCUAGCUGGUCUGGGGGGAUGACCGGCACACUGGGACCUGAGACACGGUCCAGACUCCUACGGAGGGCGGCAGUGGGGAAUAUCGCACAAUGGGCGAAGGCCGAAUGCAGCACUGCGGGGUGUAGAAAGAGGGCCUUCGGGUUGUAAAGUCCUUUAAGCGGGGAGGCGUUACCCGAAGAAAAAGCACCGGCUAACUCCGUGCCAGCAGCCGCGGUAAUUC